RNAcentral lists this ribosomal RNA (300 nucleotides) under Triticum aestivum (bread wheat). RNAcentral's name for it is "partial small subunit ribosomal RNA". Lineage: Eukaryota; Viridiplantae; Streptophyta; Magnoliopsida; Poales; Poaceae. The record is from RNAcentral.
AUGAAGAGGAGCAGCGUGGUGUACAUUAUUGCCGUUUUGUUCAUCGGGUGCCUUCUUAUUGGUGGACAAUGUCGGCCUGAGCCUGAGAGCACCAACGAAGAUGGCCGUGCCAACGCGACAAUGGUGGUCUCAUCAUCAGAUGAUAACGAAAUUACGAUGAAAUUUUGUGUUAUUAGGGAUUGUAAGACCAAAGGUGAAUUCUUGGGCUUGAAAGGAGCGUGCUUCUGCUGCCUCAAUCGGUCGGACGUACCGUGUUUUCAUACCCAAGAUGAGUGUAAGAAGAAUUGCCCACCAAUCUGA